RNAcentral lists this ribosomal RNA (305 nucleotides) under uncultured bacterium. RNAcentral describes it as "bacterial SSU rRNA". It matches the Rfam family "Bacterial small subunit ribosomal RNA", at positions 333 to 655 of the family's 1533-position model. The record is from RNAcentral.
GAGGACCUACGGGAGGCAGCAGUGGGGGAUAUUGCACAAUGGGGGGAACCCUGAUGCAGCGACGCCGCGUGGGUGAAGGAGCGUUUCGGCGCGUAAAGCCCUAUCGGCAGGGAAGAAGAUGACGGUACCUGACCAAGAAGCCCCGGCUAACUACGUGCCAGCAGCCGCGGUAAUACGUAGGUGGUAAGCGUUGUCCGGAUUUUCUGGGUGUAAAGGGCGUGCAGCCGGGCUGACAAGUCAGAUGUGAAAUCCGCGGGCUUAACCCGCGAACUGCAUUUGAAACUAUUGGUCUUGAGUACCGGAGG